RNAcentral lists this ribosomal RNA (27 nucleotides) under Spathularia flavida. RNAcentral describes it as "partial large subunit ribosomal RNA". Lineage: Eukaryota; Fungi; Ascomycota; Leotiomycetes; Rhytismatales; Cudoniaceae. The record is from RNAcentral.
UUAAGCAUAUCAAUAAGCGAGGGAAUU